CACAAAGGGAGUAAUUUGUCUCAUUGGUUGCUUUAGGCUCUUCGACAUAACUUAGCUGACAUACUUUGAAGGGCAGAAUAAUUUUGACCUAUUCUGCUCAGGAAUAAACAGCAUAAAGGGGCAGAAAACAGGACAGCUGGGCUGCCCACUGGGUGCUUCCUUCAGCCAAAUGUGUUCCAUGAAGAGACCACUCCAAAGCCAAGCAUGAAGGUGACAAGAAUCCUUAAACUAUUUUUUACCAGAUUGCCCAGAGUAGGUUUUCCUUGAAGACGUCAGCUGCACCUGGGGAAGACAAGAGAGCAUCACUGACUGUGAGGACGAUUGCUGGCGGGAUGCAGGCAUUGAAGAAUACCAUCCGCUUCUGCUGGAGGAACUAGGACGACGUCGUUGGAUUUCA
This 397-nucleotide long non-coding RNA is filed under the name Scleropages formosus (Asian bonytongue). Its description in RNAcentral is "lncRNA (ENSSFOG00015032420.1)". Lineage: Eukaryota; Metazoa; Chordata; Actinopteri; Osteoglossiformes; Osteoglossidae. The record is from RNAcentral.